CCGAUCAAGGAAUCGAUCGUGUCUCGUGAGAUGACUAGAAGGUACAUGACUGAUAUGAUCACUUACGCUGAGACUGAUGUCGUCGUCGUUGGUGCUGGAUCUGCUGGUUUGUCUUGUGCUUAUGAGAUUAGUAAGAACCCUAAUGUUCAAGUUGCGAUUAUUGAGCAAUCUGUUAGUCCUGGUGGUGGCGCUUGGCUCGGUGGUCAGCUUUUCUCCGCCAUGGUAAGAUUUAGAUUGUUUUUUUGCAUGUGCGAUUGGUUCUGUUUUAAUGGAGGAUUUAGGUCUAGACUUAAUCACUGUGACUAUCAAUCUCAAUUUUGGGUUUGAUUGUUGUGUUUAUGGCAGAUUGUUCGCAAACCAGCUCACUUGUUCCUUGAUGAGAUUGGUGUGGCUUACGAUGAGCAAGACAACUACGUUGUGGUUAAACACGCGGCUCUGUUCACGUCUACCAUCAUGAGCAAGCUUUUGGCUCGUCCUAAUGUGAAGCUCUUCAACGCUGUGGCGGCUGAGGAUUUGAUUGUGAAAGGAAACAGAGUUGGUGGUGUGGUGACUAACUGGGCUCUUGUGGCUCAGAACCAUGACACACAGUCUUGCAUGGACCCCAAUGUUAUGGAGGCGAAGAUUGUGGUUAGCUCGUGUGGUCAUGAUGGUCCUUUUGGAGCUACUGGUGUUAAGAGGUUGAAGAGUAUUGGGAUGAUUGAUCAUGUUCCUGGGAUGAAGGCUUUGGACAUGAACACUGCUGAAGACGCUAUAGUGAGGUUGACCAGAGAGGUUGUUCCUGGUAUGAUUGUUACCGGUAUGGAAGUUGCUGAGAUCGAUGGUGCACCGAGAAUGGUGAGUCUUUUUCUAUUUUCUUGACGGAUUUUUGAGUUGAUAUCAAUAGUUCUUGAAGAUCAUGUCCUGAGUGAGUUUGUUGUGGUGUAG
RNAcentral lists this long non-coding RNA (924 nucleotides) under Arabidopsis lyrata. RNAcentral describes it as "long non-coding RNA (ALYR_LNC000641)". The record is from RNAcentral. Lineage: Eukaryota; Viridiplantae; Streptophyta; Magnoliopsida; Brassicales; Brassicaceae.